This is a non-coding RNA of Thunnus maccoyii (southern bluefin tuna), 702 nucleotides long. Lineage: Eukaryota; Metazoa; Chordata; Actinopteri; Scombriformes; Scombridae. The record is from the annotation of a RefSeq genome assembly.
GCAGAUUCCUCCUUCAGUCUGACCUUCUUGGAUGAUGAUGACUGCAGCAUCACUGUCAUUUCUAAAGCUUCCAUCAGCCUGAAUGUAAACAGACCACAGCAAGAGGAGGAGCUACACAACUGAAUAUGAAAGGCUUCAUUUGGAACUGAAGAGAUACUGUGUUCUUUCUAUUGUUCAUUCACUACAAGUCAAAUAAUGUUACUUCAUUUCAUUUGGAUGAUGAUGCUCACUUUUCAUACUGGAUCCUCUGAGGAUUUACUGAAACCAUUUAAAGAUGUAAUGCUGGCUUUGGAAGGAGACAAUGUGACUCUCUCCUGCAACUAUAAAGGCUCUGUUUACAACCUCUGCUGGUAUCAACAGAAGUCCAGUUUGUCUCCACAGCUGCUCAUCAUGGAAAAUUCAGAGAAAGUAGAAGGGUUGUCUUUCAAACAUGACAAAGACACAAAGACAUUUCAUCUGCAGAUCUCCUCUGCUGCAGUGUCUGACUCUGCUGUGUACUACUGUGCUCUGCAGAUGAUGUGUGGAGAUGCAAUAUCAGAUCCAGUACCUAGACUGUCAUUUAAAGUGAGUGCAGAUAAAACCCAAAUGGAUCUGCAGAUCUCCUCUGCUGCAGUGUCUGACUCUGCUGUGUACUACUGUUUUCCUGGUAAAAUUCCCAACCUGACUCUCUCCAUCGGGCCACCUGAUCAUCCCCCAGUGUAA